RNA transcript from Hemicordylus capensis (graceful crag lizard), 8393 nucleotides. It is a transcript of the gene named nicastrin, with no coding region annotated. NCBI's taxonomy places the organism in Eukaryota, Metazoa, Chordata, Lepidosauria, Squamata, Cordylidae. The transcript is spliced from 18 exons. The record is from RefSeq and is a predicted model, not a curated record.
CUCCCUGUCCCCUCCCCCUCCCCUUCCAGCCGGAAGGAGGCGAGGAGGGGCGCGGCCGGAAGGCGCGGCCAUAGAGUGGCGGCCAGAGCGCCUGGGUGCCCCCCCCGCCCCCAACCAUGGCCAGCCUGGAGGCGGAAGCGGCAGCGGCCGGAAAGAUGGAGGCGGCAGCGGCCAGCGGCGGCAGCAGGAGCAGGAUGAGGAGCGGGGCGCCGUUGUCGCUGCUGCUCCGGGGGCUGCUCCUCUGCGGCCUGGCGGCAGGUCCCGGCUGGUGCAACUCCGUGGAGAGGAAGAUCUAUAUCCCACUGAACGUGACCGCGUCGUGUGUCCGCCUCCUGAACGCCACCCACCAGGUCGGCUGCCAGUCCUCCAUAAAUGGGGACACUGGCGUCAUCCACGUUGUGGAAAAGGAAGAGGACCUGAAAUGGGCCCUGGUGGACGGGCCGCACCCGCCUUACAUGGUGCUGCUGAGUGGGACGCUCUUCACCGGGCCUCUGAUGCAGAAGCUGAAAGGCAGCUCGCGGAUCUCCGGGCUGGUGGUGACCGUCGCCAGGCCCUCGGAGGGGUUCUCCCCUGGCUUGAAAUGUCCCAAUGACGGCUUUGGUGUCUACAACAGCAGUUACGGCGCUGAAUACGCUCACUGCAACGCGACCAUCUGGAAUCCACUUGGCAACGGUCUGUCCUACCAGGACUUUGACUUCCCCAUCUUCCUCCUUCAAGACGCGAAUGAAACUGAGGUUAUCAAGCAGUGCUUCCAAGACUACAACCUCCCGCGCAACGGCUCCGCCCCCCAGUACCCGCUCUGCGCCAUGCAGCUCUUCUCCCACAUGCACGCCGUGACCAACACCCUCACCUGCAUGCGCCGUAGCGCCAUCCAGAGCUCUUUCAGCCUCAGCUCAGAAGCAGUCUGUGACCCCCUCGUUGACUCCAACGUUUGGAGCACGGUGAAGCCCAUCAACGCCUCCGCGAAGCCAGAGAACAAGAGCAUCAUCAUGGCCACGACCCGGAUCGACAGCCAUUCUUUUUUCUGGAACGUGGCUCCUGGGGCCGAGAGCGCCGCUGGGUCCUUCAUCACCCUCUUGGCUGCGGCUGAAGCCAUUCACAAGAUCCCCGACGUGACGGCGUUGCCCAAAAACAUCAUGUUCACCUUCUUCCAGGGGGAGACCUUUGACUACAUCGGCAGCUCCCGCAUGGUCUACGACAUGCAGCGAGACAAGUUCUCCAUCACCCUGGACAGCAUCCAGUACUUCCUGGAGUUGAGUCAGGUGGCGCUGAGGCAGGAUUCCACGCUGUGGAUGCACACGGAUCCGGUGUCUCGGAGGAGCCAGUCGGCUGAGAUCAAGGCCAUGAUGGACGCCUUGACCAGCAGCGUUCAAGAUACCAGCGUGGUCAUGCAGGAGGUCGGCGUGUCCCAGCCUCUCCCACCGUCGUCCUUCCAGCGAUUCCUGAGGGCCAAGGAGAUCCCCGGGGUUGUCUUGGCUGACCACCGCACCUCCUUCCAGAACAGAUACUACCAGAGCAUCUACGACACCUUGGAGAACAUCCUGCCUGCGGAGGACCUCGAGGGGCUGAGCCCCGAGGAAGCCCUGAGCCGCCUGACGAACGCCUCCCAGCCCCUGGCAGACGUGGCCACCGUGGUUGCCCGUGCGCUCUACCAGCUUGCGGGGGGAAGCGGCAGCCCUGCGGAGAUCCGGGCCGAUCCAGCGACGGUUGGGCGCUUGCUGUACGGCUUCCUGGUUCGCUCCAACAACUCCUGGUUCCAGUCGAUCAUUAAGCCAGAACUCAAAGUGAUUCUGGUCAACAACCCCCUCCAGUUCUACACGGCUGUCAAUAGCCCCGUGAACGCCACCCACCUCGUCCACUACGUCUUGGCCAAUCUCACAGGCCAAGAGAUCAACAAGACCAAAGAGGACUGCCUGGACAAGACCGCCAAGUCCGACCGAGGCUUGUACGAGUACCUCUGGGUGCAGGGCAGGCUGGCCCCCAACUCCACGACCGAGCGGGAGCCCUACUGUGUCCGGUCGACGGUCCGCCUCACCCCGGCCUCCUCGCCGGCCUUUGAGCUCCGGGACUGGGCCUCCACGGAGUACUCCACAUGGACGGAGAGCCGCUGGAAGGAGGUGAAGGCCCGGAUCUUCCUGGUGGCCAGCAAGCAGCUAGAGAUCGUCACGCUGAUCGUGGGCAUCGCCAUCCUGAUCGUCUCGUUCGUCGCCACCUACUUCAUCAACGCCAAAGCCGACGUGCUUUUUACCACUCCGGGGGAAUCCGGAGCCGUGGCAUAUUGAAACCGACUGGCCUAGCAAAUCUCGGUCAAAUCGCUUAAACACAGGUGUGUGCGAGAGACGGACAGAACUGCAGGUCUCUUGCAUCAGUGACACACUCUGUGGAAUGGUGUGAAGAAAUGGCCCUGUUCUUCAUUGCUGGGUUUGCUGUCGGGAGCCCACGCCCCCCACCCCCUUUGGACUUUGGCUGUGGGGUUCUGUUCGACUGAGGGGGGCCCCUUCUUUGCUUAAAUGAAACGGGCAGCAAAAAAACCCCAAUUUCUUGUGUGGUGUGCGAGGGGGAGAAAAAUGCCCUGCUGCCUGCACCAUUCCCGAUGUCUUCGCCACGUCCCCCUCCUGAAAUCGGUUCAGUUUGGGGAUUUGUCUCCCUGGGUUGCGUGCGUGCGUGUGUGUGUGUGUGUGUGUGUGUGUGUGUGUGUGUGUGUGUGUGUUUCCUACUGCUUUGGAAGGAGGCCUUUCAUCCGCUUGCCUCCCCCUCCUCCCAGCCCUUGGAUCUGCUGCCUGGCAAGGCCUGGAAGCAGCUGCCUCGCUUGUCUGUGCCUCCAUCACUCCACGGACGGCCAACAGGUCUCCCCGCGGACGGCACAGUCGGCUCUCGCUACCCCCCCAUUUGCUGGCUGCGGGAAACUGAGCAGCAGAGGGACGGGCUGGGACCCAAAGGCUGCCCAGCCUGGAAAAGGCAGCCUGGUCUGCUCCGAAGAGAAACCCCUGCCCCGGCGGCUCUGGGCUCCCUUGAUGCAGGGGCCUCAUUAGGGGCUGGUCCAUGGGGCAUGGGCCCCCCAGUGGAAUGGCUCAGAGCCCCAAACCUCACCGGCCAGCUCCCAGAAAGCGGGGGGGGGCAGCAAUGGAGGCACCUGCACAGGGCGUGGCAGGGAGCUCCAAGCCUCACCUGGCCUUCAGAGGUGUGCGCUUAUAAUAUUCAAGACUUUAAAAACACACACACCGGGUUACGACUGAGUUUAAUUCUCCAAGGGGAGGCUGUGUGCGUUCGGGGCCGGGGUCUUCCCACUGACUUCCCCACAGCCCUGCCUUGAGGGGGUUGCCCUGAUGAGGGUCUUCCUCGGAAGGCACAGGUGGUAGCAAGCUGUCCUGCAGGCGUCGUGUCGCCUCACUCUUGGCCGCCGUGGCUGGGGGUGAUGGGAGCUGCGGUCCAGAAACAGCUGGAGGGCCCGAAGUCUCUAGCCCUGCUCUAACCACUACGCCACCCUGCCUCCGGGCACCCCUUCCGCUGCCCCCUCCCCCGGGACGAGCUCCUUUUUAGCUUCUGGUGAUUUCAGGGCGUGUUGUGGGCUUAGACGCCAGGUGAGUCCCUUUGCAGCUGAAGUUUUUGGGGUGUGUGUGUGUUUGUGUGUGUGUUAAGCAGGGAUCAGAGCGCUGGGGCUUUCUCCUCUGCCCGUUCUGCCAAAGGGGUUGGAAGCUCCACACACCCAGGAACACAGCUGGAGAGCUGCCGGCCUCCUAUUCCCCAGACUUCCUCCGUGAAUUAGAGCAUUCCUAAUGCUAAUAAGCCGCGGUGGGUGAACCCUGCGUAGGACCUGGUCUUUGGACUGUGUCGGAGAUGGAGAGGGGGGCUUCUAGCAAGUGCCCACCAUGGGGCAGGCUCUGGUCAAGUCCGGAGCAUGGGGAGAGCCCUGUAGCAUCAGGCCAAAGGUUCCCACACCCUAGAAAUCAAGAACGGCCGAACAGCUAAGACACUGAGUCUUGAGUUCAGAUCUCUGCCAGGUGCUCAGGAGGUGAAUUCUUGUCUUGGGCUAGCCUCUCUGGGUUAUGGGGAGUAUCAUACAGACUGACUUGACAGGCUUGUCGUAAGGUAGAGGCUCCCAAACAUGGGAUACAUUGGACUACAACUCCCAUCAUGCCCUGCCGCACUGGCUGAGACCAUUGUGAUGGGAGUUGUAAUCACACAACUGAUGACCCACACGGGUGUUGCUUGGUACUUAAAAGGUGUUGGUCCUGAUGAUUAGGUGUAACCAUAUCUAGAAUUAAGAAAUAGUUUUGUCUAGAAUUCUGAAUAUAUAUUUAAGAAAAGGUGUUCAGAUAACUUCACAUAAGGAAAUGUGUUCUGGCCUUUACUCGCGCAAGCUUCUUGCUUGCUUCAGAUGCCUCCGUCUCCUACAGCAUGGGGAAGAAACUGGUCUCUGUGUGGAAAUAUACCAGACCAAGAAAUAUAGGAACAGGUGAAAAGGUAGAGCGGCGUGUCUCAAUCCGGGCAAUUCAGGUUUCACAAGUCCUUAAGAUGAUAAAAAUGAAGGAUUAGAAGAAGCAGAAACUUCUGUGACUUCAGGCCUCUAAAGGACACUGGGGAAAAAAUAUUGCAUGUAUUUCAAUUUUCCCCAAAAUUUCAAAAGAACAAAAAUGGGAAGAAAGGGGUUCCCCCCCCCCAUAACUUCAAAGUUCUGGAAAAUUUACAUCUCUAACCAUACCCCCCACCCCCCGCCCCAAGCUUAAUUAUGUAUAUUUUGAAAGAAUCUACAGUAUAAUAAUUCAGCACUAUGGGAAGCACCUCUGUCGGGCAGCAGCGAUCUAGGAAGGUGCUGAAAGGCAUCAUCUCAUACUGCGCGGGAGGAGGCCAUGGCAAACCCCUCCUGUAUUCUACCAAAGACAACCACAGGGCUCUGUGGGCCGUCACGAGUCGAUACACCGACUCGCCGGCUGGGCAGGGCCAGGAGUGCUCUCUCGCGAUCUCUGCAGGUGCACUGAUGACCCACACUGGAAUUGUGGGUCCUUUCUGGAAGAGGUCCUGGAGGAGGGAGGUGGCUGAUGAGAUUCGGGGCUCUGAGCCAUUCAUUGGGGGUCUGUGCCCUGUGGCCCACCCGCUCAUGAUGCCCCGAACCUCCUCUUGUCAGGGCACAAACAGUACGUGGAGCCAUUUGUACAGCCUUAAAGCAUUAUUGUGCUUUGAAACCCUUCUCUUGCUCUGAUCCAUACAACAAGCCUGUAAGGUUGGCCAGGCGGUCCAGCUCUGGGGUUGGGGGGUUUAUUUCUUCAAGACCAUGAUAGAGGAAGGGGUGUGUGUGUGUGUGUGUGUGUGUGUGUGUGUGUGUGUACGUACGUACCAGAGAGGACAAAUAUAAUUGUUAAAACCAAGACAUGUGCUACUUAAUUCCUGAAAACACACACACAGAGACACACUCCAAUUUUUCCUCCUUGGUUCAUGCUUCUCCUCCUGUCCCCCACCUUACCAUCUUUGCUGAUCUGUGACCCGGUAUUUGGGCUCAUGGGAGAAUUCCCUUCAACCAGACUAGCUUUGCUUUGGUAAUUAGUGGCGGCAGCAGGGGAAAUUAUUCAAAAGCAGGCAGAGAGUCAACAAUUUUCUUUUGCAGUGUGGCAGCCGCCUUGGAAGCGGCUUCUUCUGCCCUUGUUAAAAGAUGCGUCUGUUUGGGUUUGGAGCUGGGGGACCAGAACCUUGAGUGUCACCACCGACGACAAGGAUGGGGUGUCAUCUAUGGGGUACAGUGGGGCGGUACUUGCCUCUUAAGCCCUCCCUCUCUCAAAUGUUUAGAAAAUUUAAAAAAAACAACAAAAAAACCCUUGCAGCUCUGUUUUUACUUUCCAGUAGAGUUCUGGUGAAAACACCGCUAAAAAUAUGCAUGCACAAUAUCUGAUCAAUUUUAAACUGGGGUGGGUGAAACCUAAUUAGGAAAGCAGACCCUCACCCAUCCACGCACUCAUUCCCUCUCUAAACCUUUGAUCAAAUUUUUAUUUCUCUCUCGCACACACAUUUUAGAGGGGGCAGGACAUGGAAAUGCUCCCUCAGAUUUUGGUGCUCUGCCCUGUUUUGGAUCGAUUCUCCCGUUUAUAUUGUUUCUGGUAAUUCCCUGGAGGAAAUCCAUGGGAGGACAUAUGGCUUCCAAAAUCCAGGAGGGGGGGGUUUCCUGUGACAACUUCUUGAUAAAUUAUAAACCAAUCUACCGUACCUUCUCUAGAAGAUGGAAUUUAGAUGUUUCUAUCUUUCUUGUCCCUAUAUAGGCAGCUUUUUUUUUUUUGCAUCACUCACAGAGAAGUGUGUGUUUGUGUAAAGAAAAGAAAUGGAUGUUUGUGCAUUUAAACAAUUCAAGGGUCCCGUCCCCCGCAAUUUAUGAAUUUUAUUUCAGAUAACAUUGCAGACAAAUUCCUUCCCAGUCACAGUAAGCCAUCCAAUAUAACCAAAUUCAACCCAGUUUAACCCAGAUAGUGGUAAACCUCUACAUUUCUAUACCGCCCAAAACUCAAGUUCUCCGGUCGGUUUACAAAACAAUAAAAACAGCCAAUAAAAGAUUAAAACAUUUUAAUAAUUAAAAAUAAAAAGUUAAAACUAUUAAAACACAAUUAAAACAAUUAAAACAGUAUCUAAGUUCAAGUACAUUUAAAUGAAAUCUCAUAUUCUUGUCCUCCUUACACCUUCCUCUGUUUCCCCUCUGUAAAGUUUGUUUAUUGAUUUGAUUUCAUUUCAUUUCAUUUCAUUUGUAUACCCUUGUUCCCCUUGGGUUUGUUUGUUUGUUUCUUUGAUUUAUAUAACGCCCUUCCAAAAUGGCUCAGGGCGGUUUACAAGAAGGUCAAAACAAUUAAAACAAGUUAACAGUUAAAAUCAAACUAUAAAAACAGAAUAAAACCAAUUAAACAAUUCAAACCACUAAAACAAACAAACAAAAAAAAAAAAACCUGGAGAACCAGGGCAACAAUUUAAAACAGUUUUUCAGUCAUUUAAAAACCCUGGAAGGCCAGGCCAACCAGCUAGGUUUUAACAGAUUGUAAACCUGUCUUCUUUUUUUUAGCAGUACCAUGCGCAUUGAGGAAGCUAUUUAAAUAACAGCAACAACUAACACCUUGGCUGAAAUUAAAUCUAUGCAUAUAUCGUCUUUCAGUUCCCAGCAGCUGCCUUGAUAUUCUUCAUCCAAAUAAUCCGGCAAUAUUCCAAACGGCGCUGACCGCCUUGGUCUUAGAUCAGGUGUUUGCAAGAUCUACAUCCUGUAUUUGUGACUGAUUCCAGCAGAGCUGAUGCCAGAGGAGGGCCAGUGUGGUGCCCCAUCACCCACCCCUGGCAAAUAAUUUCCCCUCCCUAUUUCUGGACCCAUUGUUGGAUCAUAUCCUGGUAAUUUAAAUUGGGUGCAAGUUUGGUAAGGUUAACUCCAUCAACAUCAGCACACAUUUCCAAAGAAAAAUGGUUUAGGAUGGGAGCCUUGAUAUGAAAUAGACCAUCACUGGGAGGGUGGGGCCUGUCAUUGACCGGGCAAAGUCAUUUUGUGUCGGUAACACUCAUAGGAAAAUUCAAGAAAUUAAAUAUGUAUGAACAUUUUUUUAUUAAUGUGCUUACAAAAGGGAAUUAAAAGAACAGAUUGAAAUUUGUAGGAUUUCAACUUCAAUUCCCCCCCCCCCAUUUUAUUGAUGGGAAAUAUGUCCCUUGCAGCAAUAAAAUUCUAUUACUUUAUUUUAGUUAGCAAAUGUACAUACUGCCCCAAACUCACGUCUCUGGGCAGUUUACAGUAAAACACCACACAUUAAAAAUGUUACAAUUGUUUAAUACAUUAAAAUAUUAAAGCAAUUUAAAAGAAUGAUAGAUUCUAGAUUCUUCAUCUUUAGCUCUAUUCAGACAAUAUGUUGUACAAGUGUCUCGGUGUGAAGGAAUGUGCCUGCACUCAUUUUGAAAGUGAAGCUGGAUUUGAGUUGUUCAAAUGCAGGAUUCAGAUAAGUGUACUGCUAUACCAUGUAACAUGUGAAGAACUGUACCUGUGUACAGAUUCUCCCUAGCACUAUUCAGACUUGUUGAACACUCAUACAAGUGUACAGAAAUAGCCCGAUUCAGACAUUACACUGUAUGGGUGUACACACGUGUUUGUGUGAAUGACUGCACCUAGGUUUAUUUGAAAAAUGAACCUAGAUACAGGCCCUUCAAAUGUAUGAGACAGACAGGACGUUUCCUUCUAUACCUGCCUUCAACAUAACAUGGGAAUGAAUGGCUAUACCUGUGUACACUGUACACUGGUCCAUCUAGCUCAGUAUUGCCUUCUCAGACUGGCAGCGGCUUCUCUGAGGUUGCAGGAAGGAAUCUCUCUCAGCCGCUUUGCAACGUACUGUAUGCUUUGGUAGUUCGUUGGUUCAAUAAAAAAAUCUUGUCCUAUUAAAAAAAUAAAUAAA